UCCACAGUGCCAGCCAUGUCUCCUUCUGUUCCGCUGCGGCCUCAAUCCUCUCCGUGGUUCCCUCUUUCCCCUAGGACACAGGCCAUGACCUUCCGCUGCCCAUGAAGCCUGGAGUGGACCUUCCUCUCUUCCCCGGCCCUCACGCUAACUCACGCCACGCCGUCAUCUGUUUCGGCUCUUCGGACACCCAAACUUUCACCACGAGUGUCUGUGUAUCUUCUACCUCUGCCUGAGUCUGGACCCCCCACCACUUCAGCUAAAUUACUACACGAUGAACCCUAUGGUACACCCUGCGUCCUUCCUGCCGUUGGCUUCUCAAGGGUCUGCGCUGUCGACAGUGACCUGCCGAGAGUCCGGGGCCCAGUACCUAGGUCUGCUCUGGAGCCAGCGUUAACUGGAUGUCUGAUCUUGGUCGUGUUGUUCAGCAUUCUGUGAUUUCCUUUUCUCCUUUAUAAAACGAAAGCAAUAACGUUUAUUUGCAAAGGGUUGUGAGAAGCUUUCUCUGCACUUCCACCUCGAUCAAUCCGUCACCGCACACCGUAAUCAGCUCCAGCUGGAGAUGCGUUUUACACUCAGCACGGACGGCGCCUUCCACACCUGUUACAGGGGAUCAGCUACUGUUUCCUUACGUGCAUCUGAAGGCUGGAUUCAUCCUCAUAAUUUGACACCAAAUAAAUAGAAAACAGCUCUGACUCAGAAGAAACAGCCCCCCUGCUCCGACAGCACACAUGUCUCCGUGGCUACCGGCUCCGGAAGCAGGAUCACAAACAGCCCUCGAGACCGUGUCGCGUCCAUUCCUUAUUUUUAAAUUUUUUUGGAAAGUUUUCUUGCA
Long non-coding RNA from Tupaia belangeri chinensis (Chinese tree shrew), 832 nucleotides. RefSeq lists it as uncharacterized. The transcript is spliced from 4 exons. NCBI's taxonomy places the organism in Eukaryota, Metazoa, Chordata, Mammalia, Scandentia, Tupaiidae. The record is from RefSeq and is a predicted model, not a curated record.